This 327-nucleotide transfer-messenger RNA is filed under the name Wolbachia pipientis. RNAcentral's name for it is "Alphaproteobacteria transfer-messenger RNA". It matches the Rfam family "Alphaproteobacteria transfer-messenger RNA". From Rfam's summary of the family: Bacterial tmRNA, also known as 10Sa RNA or SsrA, is named for its dual tRNA and mRNA-like properties. Its role is to liberate the mRNA from a stalled ribosome. To accomplish this part of the tmRNA is used as a reading frame that ends in a translation stop signal. The record is from Rfam by way of RNAcentral. Lineage: Bacteria; Pseudomonadati; Pseudomonadota; Alphaproteobacteria; Rickettsiales; Anaplasmataceae.
GUGUUUGACAUUUGUUUUAUACUUUUGUAUACUUACAAUGUAUAUUAUUUAUACUAUGGCAAUAAACUUACCGUGCAAUAGGUGUAUUGGACCCGAGGGCAGUACUCGGCGCCUCCACAAAUUAGGGGGGGUGUAUUAGGAUCGACAUGCAUAGUAAAGAUGGUGAUUUUGCUCGGUUAGACACCACCGAUAAGAGUUCAUAAUUUAAAAGCAAACGAUAAUUUUGCUGCAGAUAGUAAUGAACUUUCUCUUGCUGCUUAAUAUAGCACAAUCGGUUUAUUACUAAAGCACGGUUUGGGAAACACCGGGUAACAGAAGUUUCCCACA